RNAcentral lists this transfer RNA (74 nucleotides) under Fukomys damarensis (Damara mole-rat). It matches the Rfam family "tRNA". From Rfam's summary of the family: Transfer RNA (tRNA) molecules are approximately 80 nucleotides in length. Their secondary structure includes four short double-helical elements and three loops (D, anti-codon, and T loops). The record is from Rfam by way of RNAcentral. Lineage: Eukaryota; Metazoa; Chordata; Mammalia; Rodentia; Bathyergidae.
GGGGAUGUAGCUCAAUGGUUUCACCUCCUGCCUCACAAGCACAAGGACCCGAGGUUCGAUUCCCAGUAUCCCCC